GGGGCUGUAGUUCAGUGGUAGAGUACUUGCCUAGCACAUAUGAGGCACUGAGUUCGAUUCUCAGCACCA
RNAcentral lists this transfer RNA (69 nucleotides) under Ictidomys tridecemlineatus (thirteen-lined ground squirrel). RNAcentral's name for it is "Spermophilus tridecemlineatus (thirteen-lined ground squirrel) tRNA". It matches the Rfam family "tRNA". From Rfam's summary of the family: Transfer RNA (tRNA) molecules are approximately 80 nucleotides in length. Their secondary structure includes four short double-helical elements and three loops (D, anti-codon, and T loops). Further hydrogen bonds mediate the characteristic L-shaped molecular structure. tRNAs have two regions of fundamental functional importance: the anti-codon, which is responsible for specific mRNA codon recognition, and the 3' end, to which the tRNAs corresponding amino acid is attached (by aminoacyl-tRNA synthetases). tRNAs cope with the degeneracy of the genetic code in two manners: having more than one tRNA (with a specific anti-codon) for a particular amino acid; and 'wobble' base-pairing, i.e. permitting non-standard base-pairing at the 3rd anti-codon position. The record is from Rfam by way of RNAcentral. Lineage: Eukaryota; Metazoa; Chordata; Mammalia; Rodentia; Sciuridae. RNAcentral also lists the same sequence under 1 other name.